GUCCCUUUGGGGACAUUGAAUAAAAUUAGAACGAUACAGAAAAGAUUAGCAUGGCCCCUAUGCAGGGAUGAUACGCACAAAUCAAGAAAUAAUCAUUACAUUG
Solanum dulcamara is the source of this 103-nucleotide small nuclear RNA. Lineage: Eukaryota; Viridiplantae; Streptophyta; Magnoliopsida; Solanales; Solanaceae. The record is from RefSeq and is a predicted model, not a curated record.